Non-coding RNA from Schizophyllum commune H4-8, 108 nucleotides. The record is from Rfam. NCBI's taxonomy places the organism in Eukaryota, Fungi, Basidiomycota, Agaricomycetes, Agaricales, Schizophyllaceae.
GGCGAGAUGUCCGAGUGGUCUAAGGAGCUGGAUUCAAGCGCAAGCUGGCUCAUUCGAUGAGUUUCCCAGUAGCGAUUAGCUGCGGGGGUUCGAAUCCCCCUCUCGUCA